AGAAUUUCGCAAUGUGCAGGGCUCAA
This 26-nucleotide non-coding RNA is filed under the name Mus musculus (house mouse). Lineage: Eukaryota; Metazoa; Chordata; Mammalia; Rodentia; Muridae. The record is from RNAcentral.